ACGGAUGUGGCGAAAUUGGUAACCGCGCUAGUUUUAGACUCUAGUAACGUUUUAGUUUUGAGAGUUCGAGUCUCUCCAUCCGUA
Molecule: transfer RNA, 84 nt
Filed under: Climaconeis cf. scalaris
Lineage: Eukaryota; Bacillariophyta; Bacillariophyceae; Naviculales; Amphipleuraceae
Description: tRNA-Leu
Rfam family: tRNA
About the family: Transfer RNA (tRNA) molecules are approximately 80 nucleotides in length. Their secondary structure includes four short double-helical elements and three loops (D, anti-codon, and T loops).
Source: RNAcentral